This 497-nucleotide ribosomal RNA is filed under the name uncultured bacterium. RNAcentral describes it as "partial 16S ribosomal RNA". It matches the Rfam family "Bacterial small subunit ribosomal RNA", at positions 28 to 507 of the family's 1533-position model. The record is from RNAcentral.
GAUGAACGCUGGCGGUGUACCUAAUACAUGCAAGUCGAGCGAACGGACGAGAAGCUUGCUUCUCUGAUGUUAGCGGCGGACGGGUGAGUAACACGUGGAUAACCUACCUAUAAGACUGGGAUAACUUCGGGAAACCGGAGCUAAUACCGGAUAAUAUUUUGAACCGCAUGGUUCAAAAGUGAAAGACGGUCUUGCUGUCACUUAUAGAUGGAUCCGCGCUGCAUUAGCUAGUUGGUAAGGUAACGGCUUACCAAGGCAACGAUGCAUAGCCGACCUGAGAGGGUGAUCGGCCACACUGGAACUGAGACACGGUCCAGACUCCUACGGGAGGCAGCAGUAGGGAAUCUUCCGCAAUGGGCGAAAGCCUGACGGAGCAACGCCGCGUGAGUGAUGAAGGUCUUCGGAUCGUAAAACUCUGUUAUUAGGGAAGAACAUAUGUGUAAGUAACUGUGCACAUCUUGACGGUACCUAAUCAGAAAGCCACGGCUAACUACGUG